AGGGAAAGCGGGGGGCAGGCCUAACACAUGCAAGUCGAACGGUAACAGGAAGAAGCUUGCUUCUUUGCUGACGAGUGGCGGACGGGUGAGUAAUGUCUGGGAAACUGCCUGAUGGAGGGGGAUAACUACUGGAAACGGUAGCUAAUACCGCAUAACGUCGCAAGACCAAAGAGGGGGACCUUCGGGCCUCUUGCCAUCGGAUGUGCCCAGAUGGGAUUAGCUAGUAGGUGGGGUAACGGCUCACCUAGGCGACGAUCCCUAGCUGGUCUGAGAGGAUGACCAGCCACACUGGAACUGAGACACGGUCCAGACUCCUACGGGAGGCAGCAGUGGGGAAUAUUGCACAAUGGGCGCAAGCCUGAUGCAGCCAUGCCGCGUGUAUGAAGAAGGCCUUCGGGUUGUAAAGUACUUUCAGCGGGGAGGAAGGGAGUAAAGUUAAUACCUUUGCUCAUUGACGUUACCCGCAGAAGAAGCACCGGCUAACUCCGUG
Molecule: ribosomal RNA, 490 nt
Filed under: uncultured bacterium
Lineage: Bacteria
Description: partial 16S ribosomal RNA
Rfam family: Bacterial small subunit ribosomal RNA
Source: RNAcentral